Molecule: long non-coding RNA, 630 nt
Organism: Daphnia carinata
Lineage: Eukaryota; Metazoa; Arthropoda; Branchiopoda; Diplostraca; Daphniidae
Exons: 3
Source: RefSeq, a predicted model, not a curated record
CAUUCAACAAGAACCACCACCCACAACAUGCAGUAUUUAACUUUGUCACCCUGUUCCAGUUGAACUGGCUCUGCACCACCACUUCAGUUCUUAUUCAACACGUGUUUAUGUUUUGGAAGUAUUCUCUUACUUUCAUUCUGCAAAUUUCUCAGGCACAUUUCAUUUGCCACUUUGAAAGUGAACUACUACGCGAGGAUGGGCUGCUAUCAAUCAAAAGAAAUACCAAACGCACAGGGCCCCAUUGAAGCGGGCAUUCGACAAAUUCCACCACUCUAAACCAACGGCGUUUAACUUUUUCAACAUCUUCCAGACGAAAGGGCUCUGCAUAUUCAGCUGUUAAUAACUGACUAGGGUGACCAAUUUCUGUUAGCACAUUUCUUUAGAACGCGUGUUCAACCUGAUAUAAUAACACUUUUAACCAAGUGAUAAUGGUUUUUCUUUCCGUCUGAGCAAACUAAACUCCUACUGAACUACAACGUAUGUGAGAUUCACCGGUUCAAAGCACUAAACCAGUCGCAUACGACUUAAAGCUCUCGGGGUUUAUUUGUCAACAGGUAGCUCAUUCAAACAUUCACGUUUAAAGUACUCAACAAGUAAUACUAUCAGAAUCCAGUUUUUUUCAACACCUUC